UACGGAGGGUGCGAGCGUUGUCCGGAUUUAUUGGGUUUAAAGGGUGCGUAGGUGGCUGUUUAAGUCAGUGGUGAAAUACGGUUGCUCAACAAUCGAGGUGCCAUUGAUACUGAAUAGCCUUGAAAUAAUUGGAGGCUGCCGGAAUGGAUGGUGUAGCGGUGAAAUGCAUAGAUAUCAUCCAGAACACCGAUUGCGAAGGCAGGUGGCUACGAUUGGUUUGACACUGAGGCACGAAAGCAUGGGGAGCAAACAGG
This 254-nucleotide ribosomal RNA is filed under the name uncultured bacterium. RNAcentral describes it as "partial 16S ribosomal RNA". It matches the Rfam family "Bacterial small subunit ribosomal RNA", at positions 524 to 776 of the family's 1533-position model. The record is from RNAcentral.